GUGGGGAAUAUUGGACAAUGGGCGAAAGCCUGAUCCAGCAAUGCCGCGUGCAGGAUGAAGGCCCUCGGGUUGUAAACUGCUUUUGUACGGAACGAAAAGCUCUGGGCUAAUACCCUGGAGUCAUGACGGUACCGUAAGAAUAAGCACCGGCUAACUACGUGCCAGCAGCCGCGGUAAUACGUAGGGUGCAAGCGUUAAUCGGAAUUACUGGGCGUAAAGCGUGCGCAGGCGGUUUUGUAAGACAGUGGUGAAAUCCCCGGGCUCAACCUGGGAACUGCCAUUGUGACUGCAAAGCUAGAGUGCGGCAGAGGGGGAUGGAAUUCCGCGUGUAGCAGUGAAAUGCGUAGAUAUGCGGAGGAACACCGAUGGCGAAGGCAAUCCCCUGGGCCUGCACUGACGCUCAUGCACGAAAGCGUGGGGAGCAAACAGGAUUAGAUACCCUUGUAGUCC
RNAcentral lists this ribosomal RNA (450 nucleotides) under uncultured bacterium. RNAcentral's name for it is "partial 16S ribosomal RNA". It matches the Rfam family "Bacterial small subunit ribosomal RNA", at positions 354 to 796 of the family's 1533-position model. The record is from RNAcentral.